Jatropha curcas is the source of this 298-nucleotide non-coding RNA. The record is from RefSeq and is a predicted model, not a curated record. NCBI's taxonomy places the organism in Eukaryota, Viridiplantae, Streptophyta, Magnoliopsida, Malpighiales, Euphorbiaceae.
GAUUUGAAUUUCCGACCACCGUGCAUGGCGGUCGGCGGCGGCGGUCCGGUGACCGGACGGCGGCACUCCGGCGAGGCCCCGAGAGACAGAAUCCUCUUCUCUUCGCGCUGAUCAUGGAAUUGUCGCCCGAUUCCCAAUGGGAAGUAAGUUUCUCUCUAAUUCGAUUUAGGAUACGUUUCUUCGACGCAGGGCACUAAAGGAAUUUUCCUUAGUUCCAUAAUUAUUUCACUAUGUAACUGUAUGUAUAAAAGGCUAUGUAUAUCAAUCAGUUAGUGACUCCGCAGUUGUAGAAUUUUUU